RNAcentral lists this non-coding RNA (179 nucleotides) under Armatimonadetes bacterium 13_1_40CM_64_14. Its description in RNAcentral is "6S RNA". It matches the Rfam family "6S / SsrS RNA". Rfam says of the family: E. coli 6S RNA was the first non coding RNA to be sequenced, but its function was unknown until recently. The record is from RNAcentral. Lineage: Bacteria; Bacillati; Armatimonadota.
GGGUUCCUGCCGUGCGCGUGUAGGUCGGUAGUUCCGAGCCAACACCGAUUACACCGGGAGCCCGGUCUCCAGGCGUGGAUGGCACGCCCCGUAUUUCGGGGACACCAGAAGCGAAUGGGAGGGCACCCACCUGCUUAGGCAGGUUCGGGACUGCUGCCUUACGGCACGGCGGGGUAAAU